AGCCCCUGCCCCAGCCCCAGGCCCCGUCCUGGCCCCAACCCCAGCCCUCAUCCCAGCUCCAGCCCCUGCCCCAGCCCCUGUCCCAGCCCCAGUCCCUGUCCCAGCCCCAACCCCAGCCCUGGUCCCAGCUCCAGCCCCAAUCCCAGGUCCAGUCCCGGUCCCAGCCCCUGCUCCGAUCCCGGCCCCAGUCCCAGUCCCGGUCCCAGCUCCAAUCCCAGGCCCAGUCCCGGCCCCAACCCCAGACCUCAUCCCAGCUCCAGCCCCAGGCCCAGCCCUAGUCCUGGGUCCAGCUCCAGCCCCAACCGCAGGCCCGAGCCCAGUUCCUGCCCCUGCCCCUGCCCCUGCCCCCGGCCCCGGCCCCGGCCCCGGCCCCGGCCCCGCCCCCGCCGCCCGGUCAUAUCCCACGUCGGCCGACAGGGGUCGCGCUGUGGCCGGGGCGAGGCGGGGCGGGGGCGGCGGCGGCGGCAGCAGCGGCAGCAGCUCCCACGGCAGCAGCCUCUGCUCCGCUCCUCCGGAGGCCGCUGGUUGGAUUAUUUCACCCAUUUUUUUCUUUUCCCUCCGUCCCUCCCUCCGUCCGUCCCUCCCUCCGUCCGUCCGUCCGUCCCAGCUGUCCGGGGAGGCGGCGAUCUGCGGCGGGGAGAGGCGGCGUCCCCUCCGCUGCUCGGGGAUUGUCCGGACCCGGGGGAGCGGCGGCGGCGGCGGCGGCAGCAGGAGCGGGAGCGGCUCCCCCUCGGGCUGCGUUUGCCCCUCGUCUCCCCGUUGGCCGGGAGGGAGGCCCAGGCCUCCGCCGCCGCCGCCGCCGCCGCCCGAGAAGCCCCGAGGGGCUUGUGCCGCUUCCGCGCCGGCCCCGGGAGCCAUGUUGGAGCGGGAGGGCGGCUCGGCGUGAGAGCCGCUCCCGGAGCCCCCGGAGCCCCCCGGAGCCCCCUUUCCCCCCUCCCCCGGGCCGCCUCUCGGGCUCGGAGCGCAGCGGAGGGCGAGGCCCCGCCGGAGCCGCUUGCAGCCUGCCGGACGGCCCGGCCCGACCCGGCCCGGCCCGGCCCGGUCGGGAAGGGGGUCGGGGCGGGGGUUGGGGCGGGGGGGGCGGGGCGGCGGGGCGGGGGUCGGAGCAGAGCGGGGUCCGGGGCGGCGGCGCGAGGAGCGGAUCCUUGA
Molecule: long non-coding RNA, 1149 nt
Filed under: Ornithorhynchus anatinus (platypus)
Lineage: Eukaryota; Metazoa; Chordata; Mammalia; Monotremata; Ornithorhynchidae
Description: lncRNA (ENSOANG00000050917.1)
Source: RNAcentral